GACGAACGCUGGCGGCGUGCUUAACACAUGCAAGUCGAGCGAGGCCCGCCUUUCGGGGUGGUGUCCUAGCGGCGAACGGGUGAGUAACACGUGGGCAACCUGCCCUCAGCUCUGGGAUAACUCCAAGAAAUUGGGGCUAAUACCGGAUAUGACCGCUGACCGCAUGGUCUGGUGGUGGAAAGAUUUAUCGGCUGGGGAUGGGCCCGCGGCCUAUCAGCUUGUUGGGGGGUAGUGGCCUACCAAGGCGACGACGGGUAGCCGGCCUGAGAGGGUGACCGGCCACACUGGGACUGAGACACGGCCCAGACUCCUACGGGAGGCAGCAGUGGGGAAUAUUGCGCAAUGGGCGAAAGCCUGACGCAGCGACGCCGCGUGGGGAUGACGGCCUCGGUUGUAA
RNAcentral lists this ribosomal RNA (397 nucleotides) under uncultured bacterium. RNAcentral's name for it is "bacterial SSU rRNA". It matches the Rfam family "Bacterial small subunit ribosomal RNA", at positions 28 to 428 of the family's 1533-position model. The record is from RNAcentral.